CGCGAGGUGAAAGUCAAACCCCCAGCUCAUCUGGAACGGAUCUUAUCAGUUUAUAUGGGUUGGCCCGAGCAGGCCCAGUGACCAUGCUGCACUUCCGGAUGGCAGAAGAGAGAGAAGAGAGUUGGCUGGCAGUGGGGAGCUUGUAAACAUCUUUGACUGGAAGCUGGGUCAAUACAGUGGGCUUUCAGUCAGAUGUUUGCAGUCGCCGACUGUCACAGGUCUGCCGGCAACUAUAAUCAAAACACUUAAGGACUACUGCGUAACUGUGUACACACACACACACACACACACACACACACACACACACACACACACACACACACACACACACACACACACACACACAUAAACACAAAAA
This is a long non-coding RNA of Pygocentrus nattereri (red-bellied piranha), 358 nucleotides long. RefSeq lists it as uncharacterized. The transcript is spliced from 2 exons. NCBI's taxonomy places the organism in Eukaryota, Metazoa, Chordata, Actinopteri, Characiformes, Serrasalmidae. The record is from RefSeq and is a predicted model, not a curated record.